AUCCAGCUGACGAGUCCCAAAUAGGACGAAAUCAGCAUCCUGGAU
This 45-nucleotide non-coding RNA is filed under the name Trichobilharzia regenti. The record is from RNAcentral. Lineage: Eukaryota; Metazoa; Platyhelminthes; Trematoda; Strigeidida; Schistosomatidae.